AUUGAACGCUGGCGGGAUGCUUUACACAUGCAAGUCGAACGGCAGCAUAGAGAGCUUGCUCUCUGAUGGCGAGUGGCGAACGGGUGAGUAAUAUAUCGGAACGUGCCCAGUAAUGGGGAAUAACUAGCCGAAAGGUUAGCUAAUACCGCAUACGACCUACGGGUGAAAGCAGGGGAUCUUAGGACCUUGCGUUAUUGGAGCGGCCGAUAUCUGAUUAGCUUGUUGGUGGGGUAAAAGCCUACCAAGGCAACGAUCAGUAGCUGGUCUGAGAGGACGAUCAGCCACACUGGAACUGAGACACGGUCCAGACUCCUACGGGAGGCAGCAGUGGGGAAUUUUGGACAAUGGGGGAAACCCUGAUCCAGCCAUCCCGCGUGAGUGAAGAAGGCCUUCGGGUUGUAAAGCUCUUUCGAAAGUGAAGAAAACUUAUUUCGUAAUAUGUUAUGAGUAUGACGGUAACUUUAGAAGAAGCACCGGCUAACUACGUGCCAGCAGCCGCGGUAAUACGUAGGGUGCGAGCGUUAAUCGGAAUUACUGGGCGUAAAGCGUGCGCAGGCGGUUUUGUAAGUCAGAUGUGAAAUCCCCGAGCUUAACUUGGGAACUGCGUUUGAAACUACAAGACUAGAGUGUGUCAGAGGGGGGUAGAAUUCCACGUGUAGCAGUGAAAUGCGUAGAGAUGUGGAGGAAUACCAAUGGCGAAGGCAGCCCCCUGGGAUAACACUGA
Molecule: ribosomal RNA, 724 nt
Filed under: bacterium IMCC11234
Lineage: Bacteria
Description: bacterial SSU rRNA
Rfam family: Bacterial small subunit ribosomal RNA
Source: RNAcentral